Molecule: ribosomal RNA, 426 nt
Filed under: uncultured bacterium
Lineage: Bacteria
Description: partial 16S ribosomal RNA
Rfam family: Bacterial small subunit ribosomal RNA
Source: RNAcentral
GUGAGGAAUUUUCCGCAAUGGGCGAAAGCCUGACGGAGCAAUGCCACGUGAAGGAUGAAGGCCUAUGGGUUGUAAACUUCUUUUCUCAGAAAAGAAUUAUGACGGUAUCUGAGGAAUAAGCAUCGGCUAACUCUGUGCCAGCAGCCGCGGUAAGACAGAGGAUGCAAGCGUUAUCCGGAAUGAUUGGGCGUAAAGCGUCUGUAGGUUGUUUAAAAAGUAUUCUGUCAAAGAUUAGGGCUUAACCCUAGAUAGGCAGAAUAAACUUUUAAGCUAGAGUGUGGUAGAGGCAGAGGGAAUUCCCGGUGGAGCGGUGAAAUGCGUAGAUAUCGGGAGGAACACCAAAGGCGAAGGCACUCUGCUGGGCCAAUACUAACACUGAGAGACGAAAGCGAGGGGAGCAAAUGGGAUUAGAAACCCCAGUAGUCC